Molecule: ribosomal RNA, 1347 nt
Filed under: uncultured bacterium
Lineage: Bacteria
Description: bacterial SSU rRNA
Rfam family: Bacterial small subunit ribosomal RNA
Source: RNAcentral
GAUGAACGCUGGCGGCGUGCUUAACACAUGCAAGUCGAACGGGAUCCAUCAGGCUUUGCUUGGUGGUGAGAGUGGCGAACGGGUGAGUAAUGCGUGACCGACCUGCCCCAUACACCGGAAUAGCUCCUGGAAACGGGUGGUAAUGCCGGAUGCUCCGACUCCUCGCAUGGGGUGUCGGGAAAGAUUUCAUCGGUAUGGGAUGGGGUCGCGUCCUAUCAGGUAGCCGGCGGGGUAACGGCCCACCGAGCCUACGACGGGUAGCCGGCCUGAGAGGGCGACCGGCCACAUUGGGACUGAGAUACGGCCCAGACUCCUACGGGAGGCAGCAGUGGGGAAUAUUGCACAAUGGGCGCAAGCCUGAUGCAGCGACGCCGCGUGCGGGAUGACGGCCUUCGGGUUGUAAACCGCUUUUGAUCGGGAGCAAGCCUUCGGGUGAGUGUACCUUUCGAAUAAGCACCGGCUAACUACGUGCCAGCAGCCGCGGUAAUACGUAGGGUGCAAGCGUUAUCCGGAAUUAUUGGGCGUAAAGGGCUCGUAGGCGGUUCGUCGCGUCCGGUGUGAAAGUCCAUCGCUUAACGGUGGAUCUGCGCCGGGUACGGGCGGGCUGGAGUGCGGUAGGGGAGACUGGAAUUCCCGGUGUAACGGUGGAAUGUGUAGAUAUCGGGAAGAACACCAAUGGCGAAGGCAGGUCUCUGGGCCGUUACUGACGCUGAGGAGCGAAAGCGUGGGGAGCGAACAGGAUUAGAUACCCUGGUAGUCCACGCCGUAAACGGUGGAUGCUGGAUGUGGGGCCCGUUCCACGGGUUCCGUGUCGGAGCUAACGCGUUAAGCAUCCCGCCUGGGGAGUACGGCCGCAAGGCUAAAACUCAAAGAAAUUGACGGGGGCCCGCACAAGCGGCGGAGCAUGCGGAUUAAUUCGAUGCAACGCGAAGAACCUUACCUGGGCUUGACAUGUUCCCGACAGCCGUAGAGAUAUGGCCUCCCUUCGGGGCGGGUUCACAGGUGGUGCAUGGUCGUCGUCAGCUCGUGUCGUGAGAUGUUGGGUUAAGUCCCGCAACGAGCGCAACCCUCGCCCUGUGUUGCCAGCACGUCAUGGUGGGAACUCACGGGGGACCGCCGGGGUCAACUCGGAGGAAGGUGGGGAUGACGUCAGAUCAUCAUGCCCCUUACGUCCAGGGCUUCACGCAUGCUACAAUGGCCGGUACAACGGGAUGCGACACGGCGACGUGGAGCGGAUCCCUGAAAACCGGUCUCAGUUCGGAUUGGAGUCUGCAACCCGACUCCAUGAAGGCGGAGUCGCUAGUAAUCGCGGAUCAGCAACGCCGCGGUGAAUGCGUUCCCGGGCCU